AGCUAGUUGGUGAGGUAACGGCCCACCAAGGCGACGAUCGGUAGCCGGACUGAGAGGUUGAACGGCCACAUUGGGACUGAGACACGGCCCAGACUCCUACGGGAGGCAGCAGUGGGGAAUAUUGCACAAUGGGGGAAACCCUGAUGCAGCGACGCCGCGUGGAGGAAGAAGGUCUUCGGAUUGUAAACUCCUGUUGUUGAGGAAGAUAAUGACGGUACUCAACAAGGAAGUGACGGCUAACUACGUGCCAGCAGCCGCGGUAAAACGUAGGUCACAAGCGUUGUCCGGAAUUACUGGGUGUAAAGGGAGCGCAGGCGGGAAGACAAGUUGGAAGUGAAAUCCAUGGGCUCAACCCAUGAACUGCUUUCAAAACUGUUUUUCUUGAGUAGUGCAGAGGUAGGCGGAAUUCCCGGUGUAGCGGUGGAAUGCGUAGAUAUCGGGAGGAACACCAGUGGCGAAGGCGGCCUACUGGGCACCAACUGACGCUGAGGCUCGAAAGUGUGGGUAGCAAACAGGAUUAGAUACCCUGGUAGUCCGCACCGUAAACGAUGAUUACUAGGUGUUGGAGGAUUGACCCCUUCAGUGCCGCAGUUAACACAAUAAGUAAUCCACCUGGGGAGUACGACCGCAAGGUUGAAACUCAAAGGAAUUGACGGGGGCCCGCACAAGCAGUGGAGUAUGUGGUUUAAUUCGACGCAACGCGAAGAACCUUACCAAGUCUUGACAUCCCUUGACGAUGCUGGAAACAGUAUUUCUCUUCGGAGCAAGGAGACAGGUGGUGCAUGGUUGUCGUCAGCUCGUGUCGUGAGAUGUUGGGUUAAGUCCCGCAACGAGCGCAACCCUUAUGGUCAGUUACUACGCAAGAGGACUCUGGCCAGACUGCCGUUGACAAAACGGAGGAAGGUGGGGAUGACGUCAAAUCAUCACGCCCUUUAUGACUUGGGCUACACACGUACUACAAUGGCGUUAAACAAAGAGAAGCAAGACCGCGAGGUGGAGCAAAACUCAGAAACAACGUCCCAGUUCGGACUGCAGGCUGCAACUCGCCUGCACGAAGUCGGAAUUGCUAGUAAUCGUGGAUCAGCAUGCCACGGUGAAUACGUUCCCGGGCCUUGUACACACCGCCCGUCACACCAUGAGAGCCGGGGGGACCCGAAGUCGGUAGUCUAACCGCAAGGAGGACGCCGCCGAAGGUAAAACUGGUGAUUGGGGUGAAGUCGUAACAAGGUAGCCGUAGGAGAACCUGCGGCUG
This 1252-nucleotide ribosomal RNA is filed under the name metagenome. RNAcentral describes it as "bacterial SSU rRNA". It matches the Rfam family "Bacterial small subunit ribosomal RNA", at positions 243 to 1520 of the family's 1533-position model. The record is from RNAcentral.